Molecule: transfer RNA, 71 nt
Filed under: Loxodonta africana (African savanna elephant)
Lineage: Eukaryota; Metazoa; Chordata; Mammalia; Proboscidea; Elephantidae
Rfam family: tRNA
About the family: Transfer RNA (tRNA) molecules are approximately 80 nucleotides in length. Their secondary structure includes four short double-helical elements and three loops (D, anti-codon, and T loops).
Source: Rfam by way of RNAcentral
GCAGCGGUGACUCAGUGGUAGGGGUCUUGCCUUCCGUGCAGGAGACCUGGGUUAAAUUCCCGGCCAAUGUA